GGAGUGCUUAGAAGUGAGAAUGCCGGUAUGAGUAGCGAAAGACGGGUGAGAAUCCCGUCCACCGAAUGCCUAAGGUUUCCUGAGGAAGGCUCGUCCGCUCAGGGUUAGUCAGGACCUAAGCCGAGGCCGACAGGCGUAGGCGAUGGACAACAGGUUGAUAUUCCUGUACCACCUCUUUAUCGUUUGAGCAAUGGAGGGACGCAGAAGGAUAGAAGAAGCGUGCGAUUGGUUGUGCACGUCCAAGCAGUUAGGCUGAUAAGUAGGCAAAUCCGCUUAUCGUGAAGGCUGAGCUGUGAUGGGGAAGCUCCUUAUGGAGCGAAGUCUUUGAUUCCCCGCUGCCAAGAAAAGCUUCUAGCGAGAUAAAAGGUGCCUGUACCGCAAACCGACACAGGUAGGCGAGGAGAGAAUCCUAAGGUGUGCGAGAGAACUCUGGUUAAGGAACUCGGCAAAAUGACCCCGUAACUUCGGGAGAAGGGGUGCUUUCUUAACGGAAAGCCGCAGUGAAUAGGCCCAAGCGACUGUUUAGCAAAAACACAGCUCUCUGCGAAGCCGUAAGGCGAAGUAUAGGGGGUGACACCUGCCCGGUGCUGGAAGGUUAAGGAGAGGGGUUAGCGUAAGCGAAGCUCUGAACUGAAGCCCCAGUAAACGGCGGCCGUAACUAUAACGGUCCUAAGGUAGCGAAAUUCCUUGUCGGGUAAGUUCCGACCCGCACGAAAGGUGUAACGAUUUGGGCACUGUCUCAACCAGAGACUCGGUGAAAUUAUAGUACCUGUGAAGAUGCAGGUUACCCGCGACAGGACGGAAAGACCCCGUGGAGCUUUACUGUAGCCUGAUAUUGAAUUUUGGUACAGUUUGUACAGGAUAGGCGGGAGCCUUUGAAACCGGAGCGCUAGCUUCGGUGGAGGCGCUGGUGGGAUACCGCCCUGACUGUAUUGAAAUUCUAACCUACGGGUCUUAUCGACCCGGGAGACAGUGUCAGGUGGGCAGUUUGACUGGGGCGGUCGCCUCCUAAAGUGUAACGGAGGCGCCCAAAGGUUCCCUCAGAAUGGUUGGAAAUCAUUCGUAGAGUGCAAAGGCAUAAGGGAGCUUGACUGCGAGACCUACAAGUCGAGCAGGGACGAAAGUCGGGCUUAGUGAUCCGGUGGUUCCGCAUGGAAGGGCCAUCGCUCAACGGAUAAAAGCUACCCCGGGGAUAACAGGCUUAUCUCCCCCAAGAGUCCACAUCGACGGGGAGGUUUGGCACCUCGAUGUCGGCUCAUCGCAUCCUGGGGCUGUAGUCGGUCCCAAGGGUUGGGCUGUUCGCCCAUUAAAGCGGUACGCGAGCUGGGUUCAGAACGUCGUGAGACAGUUCGGUCCCUAUCCGUCGUGGGCGUAGGAAAUUUGAGAGGAGCUGUCCUUAGUACGAGAGGACCGGGAUGGACGCACCGCUGGUGUACCAGUUGUUCUGCCAAGGGCAUAGCUGGGUAGCUAUGUGCGGAAGGGAUAAGUGCUGAAAGCAUCUAAGCAUGAAGCCCCCCUCAAGAUGAGAUUUCCCAUAGCGUAAGCUAGUAAGAUCCCUGAAAGAUGAUCAGGUUGAUAGGUUCGAGGUGGAAGCAUGGUGACAUGUGGAGCUGACGAAUACUAAUAGAUCGAGGACUUAACCAU
RNAcentral lists this ribosomal RNA (1644 nucleotides) under Bacillus anthracis (anthrax bacterium). RNAcentral describes it as "partial 23S ribosomal RNA". It matches the Rfam family "Bacterial large subunit ribosomal RNA", at positions 1275 to 2925 of the family's 2925-position model. The record is from RNAcentral. Lineage: Bacteria; Bacillati; Bacillota; Bacilli; Caryophanales; Bacillaceae.